AUUCCAUGGUAUGGAUAUUGUCUCAAUAAAUCUUUGAAUCACUCCUAAGCAUAAGCUAAAGACUCAUCCUCUCAUUGUUUAAAUGAUGUGAUUCAUUUCUCAUUUU
Small nucleolar RNA from Lathyrus oleraceus (garden pea), 106 nucleotides. NCBI's taxonomy places the organism in Eukaryota, Viridiplantae, Streptophyta, Magnoliopsida, Fabales, Fabaceae. The record is from RefSeq and is a predicted model, not a curated record.